RNAcentral lists this ribosomal RNA (1446 nucleotides) under uncultured organism. RNAcentral describes it as "SSU rRNA". It matches the Rfam family "Bacterial small subunit ribosomal RNA". The record is from RNAcentral.
CUACAGGCUUAACACAUGCAAGUCGAGGGGCAGCAUUUUAGUUUGCUUGCAAACUGAAGAUGGCGACCGGCGCACGGGUGAGUAACACGUAUCCAACCUACCGAUAACUCCGGAAUAGCCUUUCGAAAGAAAGAUUAAUACCGGAUAGCAUACGAAUAUCGCAUGAUAUUUUUAUUAAAGAAUUUCGGUUAUCGAUGGGGAUGCGUUCCAUUAGUUUGUUGGCGGGGUAACGGCCCACCAAGACUACGAUGGAUAGGGGUUCUGAGAGGAAGGUCCCCCACAUUGGAACUGAGACACGGUCCAAACUCCUACGGGAGGCAGCAGUGAGGAAUAUUGGUCAAUGGGCGAGAGCCUGAACCAGCCAAGUAGCGUGAAGGAUGAAGGCUCUAUGGGUCGUAAACUUCUUUUAUAUGGGAAUAAAGUUUUCCACGUGUGGAAUUUUGUAUGUACCAUAUGAAUAAGGAUCGGCUAACUCCGUGCCAGCAGCCGCGGUAAUACGGAGGAUCCGAGCGUUAUCCGGAUUUAUUGGGUUUAAAGGGAGCGUAGGUGGAUUGUUAAGUCAGUUGUGAAAGUUUGCGGCUCAACCGUAAAAUUGCAGUUGAAACUGGCAGUCUUGAGUACAGUAGAGGUGGGCGGAAUUCGUGGUGUAGCGGUGAAAUGCUUAGAUAUCACGAAGAACUCCGAUUGCGAAGGCAGCUCACUAGACUGUCACUGACACUGAUGCUCGAAAGUGUGGGUAUCAAACAGGAUUAGAUACCCUGGUAGUCCACACAGUAAACGAUGAAUACUCGCUGUUUGCGAUAUACAGUAAGCGGCCAAGCGAAAGCAUUAAGUAUUCCACCUGGGGAGUACGCCGGCAACGGUGAAACUCAAAGGAAUUGACGGGGGCCCGCACAAGCGGAGGAACAUGUGGUUUAAUUCGAUGAUACGCGAGGAACCUUACCCGGGCUUAAAUUGCAACAGAAUAUAUUGGAAACAGUAUAGCCGUAAGGCUGUUGUGAAGGUGCUGCAUGGUUGUCGUCAGCUCGUGCCGUGAGGUGUCGGCUUAAGUGCCAUAACGAGCGCAACCCUUAUCUUUAGUUACUAACAGGUUAUGCUGAGGACUCUAGAGAGACUGCCGUCGUAAGAUGUGAGGAAGGUGGGGAUGACGUCAAAUCAGCACGGCCCUUACGUCCGGGGCUACACACGUGUUACAAUGGGGGGUACAGAAGGCGGCUACCUGGUGACAGGAUGCUAAUCCCAAAAACCUCUCUCAGUUCGGAUCGAAGUCUGCAACCCGACUUCGUGAAGCUGGAUUCGCUAGUAAUCGCGCAUCAGCCAUGGCGCGGUGAAUACGUUCCCGGGCCUUGUACACACCGCCCGUCAAGCCAUGAAAGCCGGGGGUACCUGAAGUACGUAACCGCAAGGAGCGUCCUAGGGUAAAACUGGUAAUUGGGGCUAAGUCAU